UAAUACGGAGGAUGCGAGCGUUAUCCGGAUUUAUUGGGUUUAAAGGGUGCGCAGGCGGUCUGUUAAGUCAGCGGUCAAAGCCCGGGGCUCAACCCCGGCCCGCCGUUGAAACUGGCAGUCUCGAGUUGGAGAGAAGUAUGCGGAAUGCGCGGUGUAGCGGUGAAAUGCAUAGAUAUCGCGCAGAACUCCGAUUGCGAAGGCAGCAUGCCGGCUCCACACUGACGCUGAGGCACGAAAGCGUGGGUAUCGAACAGGAUUAGAUACCCUGGUAGUCCACGCAGUAAACGAUGAAUGCUGGCUGUCCGGGGGGAUUGACCCCUGGGUGGCGAAGCGAAAGCGAUAAGCAUUCCACCUGGGGAGUACGCCGGCAACGGUG
This 376-nucleotide ribosomal RNA is filed under the name uncultured bacterium. RNAcentral describes it as "bacterial SSU rRNA". It matches the Rfam family "Bacterial small subunit ribosomal RNA", at positions 521 to 896 of the family's 1533-position model. The record is from RNAcentral.